AGUGAACGCUGGCGGUAGGCCUAACACAUGCAAGUCGAACGGCAGCACAGUAAGAGCUUGCUCUUACGGGUGGCGAGUGGCGGACGGGUGAGGAAUACAUCGGAAUCUACUUUUUCGUGGGGGAUAACGUAGGGAAACUUACGCUAAUACCGCAUACGACCUACGGGUGAAAGCAGGGGAUCUUCGGACCUUGCGCGAUUGAAUGAGCCGAUGUCGGAUUAGCUAGUUGGCGGGGUAAAGGCCCACCAAGGCGACGAUCCGUAGCUGGUCUGAGAGGAUGAUCGGCCACACUGGAACUGAGACACGGUCCAGACGCCUACGGGAGGCAGCAGUAGGGAAUAUUCGACAAUGGGCGCAAGCAUGACGGAGCCAGCCCGCGUGGGGGAAGAAGGCCUUCGGAUUGUAAACCCUUUUUAGUAGGAAAGAACAGAUGCAGACGUAUACCUGCACGUCGUGACGGUACCUAAUGAGUAAGAAACGGCUAACUUCGUG
RNAcentral lists this ribosomal RNA (492 nucleotides) under uncultured bacterium. RNAcentral's name for it is "partial 16S ribosomal RNA". It matches the Rfam family "Bacterial small subunit ribosomal RNA", at positions 29 to 507 of the family's 1533-position model. The record is from RNAcentral.